This 74-nucleotide transfer RNA is filed under the name Bigelowiella natans. Its description in RNAcentral is "tRNA-Leu". It matches the Rfam family "tRNA". Rfam says of the family: Transfer RNA (tRNA) molecules are approximately 80 nucleotides in length. Their secondary structure includes four short double-helical elements and three loops (D, anti-codon, and T loops). Further hydrogen bonds mediate the characteristic L-shaped molecular structure. tRNAs have two regions of fundamental functional importance: the anti-codon, which is responsible for specific mRNA codon recognition, and the 3' end, to which the tRNAs corresponding amino acid is attached (by aminoacyl-tRNA synthetases). tRNAs cope with the degeneracy of the genetic code in two manners: having more than one tRNA (with a specific anti-codon) for a particular amino acid; and 'wobble' base-pairing, i.e. permitting non-standard base-pairing at the 3rd anti-codon position. Lineage: Eukaryota; Cercozoa; Chlorarachniophyceae. The record is from RNAcentral.
GCAAACAUGGCUGAGUGGUCUAAGGCGCUGCGUUUAGGCCGCAGUUAUCAUGAGUUCGAAUCUCAUUGUUUGUA